This 66-nucleotide transfer RNA is filed under the name Cerceris quinquefasciata. RNAcentral's name for it is "tRNA-Glu". The record is from RNAcentral. Lineage: Eukaryota; Metazoa; Arthropoda; Insecta; Hymenoptera; Crabronidae.
UUUUAUAUAGUUUAAAAAAAACAUUAUAUUUUCAUUAUAAAAAUAAUAUUCUAAUAUUUAUAAAUU